GGAAAUGUGGCUUAGUGGUAGAGUGUUUGCCUAGCAUGCAUGAAGCCUUGGGUUCGAUUCCUCAGCACCA
Molecule: transfer RNA, 70 nt
Filed under: Dipodomys ordii (Ord's kangaroo rat)
Lineage: Eukaryota; Metazoa; Chordata; Mammalia; Rodentia; Heteromyidae
Rfam family: tRNA
About the family: Transfer RNA (tRNA) molecules are approximately 80 nucleotides in length.
Source: Rfam by way of RNAcentral